AUAGAAUUCCUAAACUAAUUAAUUAAUUUUCCAAUUUAACUUUUUUCUAAUCGAAAGACUAAAUAAAUAAAAGUCAAACUUCAAAUACCACCUCUAAGAUUUCACACUUUCUAACUUUAGUAUCUCGUGGUUUAAAGUGUAUAAAUUUAGUACCUUGUGGUUUCAUUUCACAUUUUUCGUCAGCUCGUUCGUUAAUAUUUUGCUAAAUUAUAUUAAAAAAACUUCAGAUAUCUUACCUAUGUUUAUCGAAUAUUCACUUUAGUAUCUUUUAGUUUUAACUUUAUCACUAAUUUAAUGAAAAAAAUAGUGAAAGAAAUAAUAAAAAGAAAAAAAUAAAACUACGGACACUAAAUCGAUACAUUUUAUACUAUAGGAUACCAAAGCGAAAAAAUAAAAAUCAUAGGAGUGGUAUUUGAAGUUUUUUUUAUAAAUAAAUGUAUUAGAUCCUUUUAUGUUAC
Molecule: long non-coding RNA, 458 nt
Filed under: Ananas comosus (pineapple)
Lineage: Eukaryota; Viridiplantae; Streptophyta; Magnoliopsida; Poales; Bromeliaceae
Description: long non-coding RNA (ACOM_LNC012831)
Source: RNAcentral